UCCCAGAAUGAGACUAGAGCCCACAUAGAUGGACACUCAAGAGAGCUUGUAUUGGUCCUAUCACAUGAGGACAUAGAAUGAAGCUGCCAUCUAUAAAUCACAGAGGUCCUCUCCCCAGGACUCUACCAUAGAUGUCCUUGUCUGCUUCUCAAGUGCUCUGUGAUGCUGAUGCUGGCCUGGAACUGCAGAAAUGUGCCUAAGCCUUAACCUCCCUGGAAGAAAUUCAGAGACCCAAGAGCCAACAAGAAAGUCACACCUGUUUAGUGAAAAGAACAAGCAAACACCAGCCCAGGCGGGUUCUCAGCCCAGAGCAUCUAACCCUCGCUCCAGGCUGAAGGCAGAAGAGAGGGGCCAUAUCCAUGAAAACAUUGUGGAGAGCUUUCAAGUGACAAGAGGAGGUGACUCAAGGUCGAGGUGUUGAUGAGCUUCCUAGAAGGGUCACCUAGGGAUGCUGAUGUGGACUACACCAGUGAACUAAGUCCCUGGGUAUGUUCUGAGUCAUUGCUGCCCAUUCCCUUUGACUGCCUCUCGGAUGGUAUGGGAGAGCUAAGGCAUGCACCUGUAUCUGUGGAUUCUGUACUGACUGGCCCAAUGUGGACACUGGUUGAUGAUGCUAUUUGGGGGCAGCGGAUCAGCAUCAUGAUGUAUUUCAGACGAGUCAUUAAGCUCUCUGGGCCCUGGGAGUUCUGCCCUAACAACUGGAGAGGUGAUAUGACUCCUUUCUGCCUCCUUGGAUCCCUGUGAGGAGAACAAUAUUUAUGACAGCCUGGAGCUAGGGGAUUUGGGAUGAGAUUUGUAGCACUACGUUAUCCAACUUUUAACUUCCUGUCUCUUCGGGUUAAUGACAUUCUCCAUCCGGCCCAGCAGUGCUGUUCUGUGCUGGAGACACUUAUCCACCUCUCCCACCUUCUGAGUCUUUUCGAGGGACAGCAGAAUCAUCUUGAUUUCAAGGAUACUUGAAGCCUCACCUGAGGUCGUACUUAGCAGCCCCUACCACCCACAGUAGGAAGGGUCGUUGACUGGGAGUUUGUACUGGUUGAACUGCGCCCACGGGCAGGAGGCCUGCUGAUUCUGCUUAGUCUAUACACAGUAUGUGCUCAGCAACACCAGAUAGGAACUCAGGCGACAUCUUAGUUACUUUUCUGUUGCUGGGAUAAAACAGUAUGCCUGACAUAACUGUAAAAGAAAGUGUUUAGUUUUAGAGGGUUUGUGUCCAUGAUGGCUGAGCAAAAGAAGGGCAGCAAAACCAGCUGUCCUUGUCAGGGUCUCCAUUGCUGUGAAGUGAAACCAUGACCAAGGCAACUCUUAUAAAGGACAACAGGUUUAGAGGUUCAA
Long non-coding RNA from Mus musculus (house mouse), 1335 nucleotides. RefSeq annotates it as predicted gene, 35455. The transcript has 4 exons. The record is from RefSeq and is a predicted model, not a curated record. Lineage: Eukaryota; Metazoa; Chordata; Mammalia; Rodentia; Muridae.